This 258-nucleotide ribosomal RNA is filed under the name uncultured bacterium. Its description in RNAcentral is "partial 16S ribosomal RNA". It matches the Rfam family "Bacterial small subunit ribosomal RNA", at positions 793 to 1055 of the family's 1533-position model. The record is from RNAcentral.
GUCCACGCCCUAAACUAUGAACACUCGAUGUUAGCGAUAUACAGUUAGCGUCUAAGCGAAAGCGUUAAGUGUUCCACCUGGGGAGUACGCCCGCAAGGGUGAAACUCAAAGGAAUUGACGGGGGCCCGCACAAGCGGAGGAGCAUGUGGUUUAAUUCGAUGAUACGCGAGGAACCUUACCCGGGCUUGAAAGUUAGUGAAUUGAGCAGAGACGCUCAAGUCCUUCGGGACACGAAACUAGGUGCUGCAUGGCUGUCGU